ACCCCCACCCGUGUCGGCCCCGCGGCACUGCGGUUUCGCGUUCCUGGAUGCCCCGCACCAAGCCCGCCGCGAGGUCGCAGGGCAGAGACUGCCUUCAGCUUUUGGUCCUCCGUUCCCUUAGUCUCAAGCAUCACCACCCCCCGCCCCCCGCCUUUACCAUCUGGGUUUGGGUACUUCUGGGUGGAGAGCAGAACCCAAGCCUGUCCUUGCCGCCCUCCUCCCGGUUCUCCUCCAGCACUCCAGUCCCAGGUUUCGGAAGCCUGCGCGAAAACCGAGGGGGUAAGGAAUGGUGGAUGGAAGCCAGCUGCUGGGCCCCCUUAGGCAGCGCCCCCGCCUCCUCGUUUCCGUUUCAGCUAGAACUCAUCUCCGCGGGAGCAGCCAGUGAGAGGUUUUUGGUGUUGGAAUAUUCCAGGUUUUCUCCAAAGGAAGAUAGUGGGGUGUUUUUCCACAUGGCAACAGCCCUUAAGGGAAGCACUUGGUCUUUCCUGGUCCCCAGCCGUGCCCCAACUCUUCACCCAGCCUAG
Molecule: long non-coding RNA, 524 nt
Filed under: Bos grunniens (domestic yak)
Lineage: Eukaryota; Metazoa; Chordata; Mammalia; Artiodactyla; Bovidae
Description: lncRNA (ENSBGRG00000014145.1)
Source: RNAcentral